AUCAAUGUUGACCAUGAUUUUAUUUGCACUUUGUCCUGAAUUCUGCUAUUGAAAACAACAAUUUCAAUGCCCCAUUACAAUAAGAAAGUUUAUUUCAAUGCUGAACUUGUCUACGAGUCCCAUCCCUCACUAUAAGCCUCCACAGCCCAUUCACACUGGUAUGUAGACAUACAAAUAUUGUUUCUUUAUUAAUUACAAAUACAUUUUCAUACUUUUUUGAUUGCCAUAUGAAUUAAAAAAUUUAAUUCAAGUCCUACUGGAAUGCAACUUUUGUGUUUAAAUUCACAACAUAAGGGAGAUAAUUAUUUCAUGAAAAUAGUUCAAAGAAAAACAAAACAUUUUUGAAUGAAUUUGCUGCGGCAAACUCGAUACUUAAACAGUAGAUUGCAAAUAGAUAUUAAAAGGUAAAUACCUAAGAAAUACAACAUAGAUUCAUAUGUACAACAAUCAUUUGCACAUUCAGAACCUCUCUCAGCAGCACUAUAUUAACUCUUUCUCUCCUCAUUGACAAUACCAUCAUUGAUUUGACCUUAUAAAUCUACACUAAUGUUUAGUUGUAUAAACUGUUCUACAAUAAGGGCAUGCAUUCCCCUUUAAUUCCAGACCAAAUAAAACAUUUUCUGAUCACAAAAAAAAAAAAAGUUAUUGAAGC
Non-coding RNA from Biomphalaria pfeifferi, 652 nucleotides. The record is from the annotation of a GenBank genome assembly. NCBI's taxonomy places the organism in Eukaryota, Metazoa, Mollusca, Gastropoda, Planorbidae.